RNAcentral lists this ribosomal RNA (479 nucleotides) under uncultured bacterium. RNAcentral's name for it is "bacterial SSU rRNA". It matches the Rfam family "Bacterial small subunit ribosomal RNA", at positions 37 to 507 of the family's 1533-position model. The record is from RNAcentral.
UGGCGGCAGGCCUAACACAUGCAAGUCGAGCGGUAACAUUUCUAGCUUGCUAGAAGAUGACGAGCGGCGGACGGGUGAGUAACGCGUAGAAAUCUACCUAGUAGUGGGGGAUAGCCCAGAGAAAUUUGGAUUAAUACCGCAUACGCCCUACGGGGGAAAGCGGGGGAUCUUCGGACCUCGUGCUAUUAGAUGAGUCUGCGUCGGAUUAGCUUGUUUGUGAGGUAAUGGCUCACCAAGGCGACGAUCCGUAGCUGGUCUGAGAGGAUGACCAGCCACACUGGAACUGAGACACGGUCCAGACUCCUACGGGAGGCAGCAGUGGGGAAUAUUGCACAAUGGGCGCAAGCCUGAUGCAGCCAUGCCGCGUGUGUGAAGAAGGCCUUAGGGUUGUAAAGCACUUUCAGCAGUGAGGAAAGGGGUGUCGUUAAUAGCGCCAUCCUGUGACGUUAACUGCAGAAGAAGGACCGGCUAACUCCGUG